GAAGAUGGAAGCCUGGAACUGCUUGAGAGAGAUUGCCUGUGAAGGAAGCCCACACAGGAAAUAAGAGGGCCAAGAGAUGGAGUGUGCCUGGAUCCAGCCAUGCCUGAAGCCAUUACCUCUUUGAACAUUUCAUUUAUCCUACAAGGAAAAAAUGAAGGAGCUGUCCAUGCUCUCACUGAUUUGCUCCUGCUUUUACCCAGAACCUUGCAACAUCAACAUCUACACCUAUGAUGGUGUCAUCCAGAAAGAAAUGUUAUGAGGGGAGAGCCAGUUGGCCUUUGGGGCUCAGAAGAUGCCAUCCUGUACU
Molecule: long non-coding RNA, 307 nt
Organism: Phyllostomus hastatus (greater spear-nosed bat)
Lineage: Eukaryota; Metazoa; Chordata; Mammalia; Chiroptera; Phyllostomidae
Exons: 3
Source: RefSeq, a predicted model, not a curated record